RNAcentral lists this ribosomal RNA (497 nucleotides) under uncultured bacterium. Its description in RNAcentral is "partial 16S ribosomal RNA". It matches the Rfam family "Bacterial small subunit ribosomal RNA", at positions 28 to 507 of the family's 1533-position model. The record is from RNAcentral.
GACGAACGCUGGCGGCGUGCCUAAUACAUGCAAGUCGAACGCUGAAGAGAGGAGCUUGCUCUUCUUGGCUGAGUUGCGAACGGGUGAGUAACGCGUAGGUAACCUGCCUUGUAGCGGGGGAUAACUAUUGGAAACGAUAGCUAAUACCGCAUAACAAUGGAUGACACAUGUCAUUUAUUAGAAAGGGGCAAUUGCUCCACUACAAGAUGGACCUGCGUUGUAUUAGCUAGUAGGUGAGGUAAUGGCUCACCUAGGCGACGAUACAUAGCCGACCUGAGAGGGAGGUCGGCCACACUGGGACUGGGACACGGCCCAGGAUUCUACGGGGGGGAGCAGGAGGGAAUCUUCGGAAAUGGGGGCAAACCUGACCGAGCAACGCCGCGGGAGGGAAGAAAGGUUUCGGAUCGGAAAGCUCUGUUGUAAGUGAAGAAAGGGUGGGAGAGUGGAAAGUUCACACUGUGACGGUAGCUUAACAGAAAGGGACGGCUAACUACGUG